GGUGGCUCAGUGGUAGAGCUCUUGCCUUGCAUGCAUGAGGCCCUGGGUCGAUAUCUCAGUACCA
Molecule: transfer RNA, 64 nt
Filed under: Dipodomys ordii (Ord's kangaroo rat)
Lineage: Eukaryota; Metazoa; Chordata; Mammalia; Rodentia; Heteromyidae
Rfam family: tRNA
About the family: Transfer RNA (tRNA) molecules are approximately 80 nucleotides in length.
Source: Rfam by way of RNAcentral